CAAAGAACACCUACGCACCAGGGGGUGUGAGGAGAGCAAUGGUGCAACUUCUCCGAGGGCUACAGGGAGACAUCUCUCCUGUGGCAGCACUCAGCUGGAUAAUUCACCAGAUCAACGUAGUUCUGAUUCUGGACCCCAGCAACAAAGGGCCAAAAGAAACAAACUACAUCAUUGUAAAUUGGUCCCUUGUGGAGAAGAAAAAGAUCUUUCACUGCUUCGCUUACUG
Thalassophryne amazonica is the source of this 226-nucleotide long non-coding RNA. RefSeq lists it as uncharacterized. NCBI's taxonomy places the organism in Eukaryota, Metazoa, Chordata, Actinopteri, Batrachoidiformes, Batrachoididae. The transcript has 3 exons. The record is from RefSeq and is a predicted model, not a curated record.